Molecule: ribosomal RNA, 253 nt
Filed under: uncultured bacterium
Lineage: Bacteria
Description: partial 16S ribosomal RNA
Rfam family: Bacterial small subunit ribosomal RNA
Source: RNAcentral
UACGUAGGGUGCAAGCGUUGUCCGGAAUUAUUGGGCGUAAAGAGCUCGUAGGCGGUUUGUCGCGUCUGCUGUGAAAACUCGGGGCUUAACCCCGGGCCUGCAGUGGGUACGGGCAGACUAGAGUGCGGUAGGGGGGAAUGGAAUUCCUGGUGUAGCGGUGAAAUGCGCAGAUAUCAGGAGGAACACCGGUGGCGAAGGCGGGUGUCUGGGCCGUAACUGACGCUGAGGAGCGAAAGCGUGGGGAGCGAACAGG